Molecule: unclassified non-coding RNA, 257 nt
Filed under: fungal sp.
Lineage: Eukaryota; Fungi
Description: partial internal transcribed spacer region
Rfam family: Eukaryotic small subunit ribosomal RNA (bases 1-46)
Source: RNAcentral
AAGUCGUAACAAGGGUUCCGUAGGUGAACCUGCGGAAGGAUCAUUACCAAAUCCAAAACUUUAUCAACACCAAACAAGUGAACUGAGAAUGGUUUCGUUCCCCUCUGCAUGUGCAUACAAUGUGUUUCCACAUUCGUGCGUGUGCGAAGGGGGAUGUUUUUUUUUUCAACCCCUUUUCAACCUCUUACAAUCUUUUAUGCUGAAAGCAAAAAAAACGAAACAUGAGACAACUUUUAACGGUGGAUCUCUUGGCUCGU